This 497-nucleotide ribosomal RNA is filed under the name uncultured bacterium. Its description in RNAcentral is "partial 16S ribosomal RNA". It matches the Rfam family "Bacterial small subunit ribosomal RNA", at positions 28 to 507 of the family's 1533-position model. The record is from RNAcentral.
GAUGAACGCUGGCGGCGUGCCUAAUACAUGCAAGUCGAGCGAACAGACGAGGAUCUUUCUCCUCUUACGUUAGCGGCUGACGGGUGAGUAACACGUGGAUAACCUACCUAUAAUACUUGGAUAACUUCGGGAAUCCGGAUCUAAUACCGGAUAAUAUAUUUAACCGCAUGGUUCAUUAGUUAAUGACGGUUUUUCUUUCACUUAUAGUUGGAUCCGCGCCGCAUUAGCUAGUUGGUAAGGUAAAGGCUUACCAAGGCAACGAUGCUUAUCCGACCUGAGAGGGUGAUCGGCGACACUGGAACUGAGACACGGUCCAGACUACUACGGGAGGCAGCAGUAGGGAAGAGUACGCAAUGGGCGAAAGCAUGACGGAGCAACGCCGCGUGAGUGAUGAAGGUCUUAGGAUCGUAAAACUCUGUUAUUAGGGAAGAAAAAAUGUGUAAGUAAAUAUGCACGUCUUGACGGUAACUAAUCAGAAAGCAACGGCUAACUACGUG